CCAAUAGCGUAUAUUAAAGUUGUUGCAGUUAAAAAGCUCGUAGUUGAACCUCGGGGUCUACCCAUUGGUCAGGCUUAAUUGUCUGCACUAGUGAGAUGGAUCUCUACCUUCUGAGGAACUUUCAUGCCAUUUAUUUGGUGUGAUGGGAAAUCAGGACUGUUACUUUGAAAAAAUUAGAGUGUUUAAAGCAGACUAUCGUCUGAAUACAUUAGCAUGGAAUAAUGAAAUAGGACGGACUGAUUCUAUUUCGUUGGUUUCUAGGAUCACCGUAAUGAUUAAUAGGGAUAGUUGGGGGCAUUAGUAUUCAAUUGUCAGAGGUGAAAUUCUUGGAUUUAUUGAAGACUAACUACUGCGAAAGCAUUUGCCAAGGAUGUUUUCAUUAAUCAAGAACGAAAGUUAGGGGAUCGAAGACGAUCAGAUACCGUCGUAGUCUUAACCAUAAACUAUGCCGACUAGGGAUCGGACGAAGUUAAUUUUAUAAUGACGCGUUCGGCACCUUACG
RNAcentral lists this ribosomal RNA (502 nucleotides) under uncultured Glomeromycotina. RNAcentral's name for it is "partial small subunit ribosomal RNA". It matches the Rfam family "Eukaryotic small subunit ribosomal RNA", at positions 591 to 1092 of the family's 1831-position model. Lineage: Eukaryota; Fungi; Glomeromycota. The record is from RNAcentral.